Molecule: unclassified non-coding RNA, 168 nt
Filed under: Oenococcus oeni
Lineage: Bacteria; Bacillati; Bacillota; Bacilli; Lactobacillales; Lactobacillaceae
Description: T-box
Source: RNAcentral
AUAAUAAACACAAUUAGCAGUAGUAGAUAUAAGGUUUUUACAGAAAGCAAACGUUUGAUGCGAGUUUGCAAAAUCUUGAUUCGAACUCGGCUGAUAAUUUUAAUUAAUUAAUCUAUAUUGAGUGCGCUUUAGCGAAUUCAGGUGGUACCGCGGAAAUCCGUCCUGUUG